Molecule: long non-coding RNA, 233 nt
Filed under: Trifolium pratense (red clover)
Lineage: Eukaryota; Viridiplantae; Streptophyta; Magnoliopsida; Fabales; Fabaceae
Description: long non-coding RNA (TPRA_LNC008244)
Source: RNAcentral
GUUCUUCCAGCAGGGUAUCAAAGGACGUAGUCUUCCAAUCAGGGCAUCCAGCAUGGUAUCAAAGGAUGUGGUCUUCCAAUCAGGGCAUGAAGCAUCCAUCUAGCAAAAACUCCUCCUGUACACAUGAUCCCAUCUUUGUGCAAAGGAAUUACGAUGAAAGGAAAAACAGGCACAUUCUGAGGGAUCUUUUUCCCACCAUAAUUUUUCUUUGAGGCAGAGGGUGUGAUGUCUGG